ACAACAACAAUAUUACUGUCGUACAUGGGCAAUUAUUUAUAUUUGAUUUAAAGUAAAUCGAUCGAAAUGCAUGGCAUGUUCACAAAUGUUCUAUGGUACUUAGAAUUCUUUGCUUUCGUUGGUAUAUUGGUUGGGUUUUUUUGUUUCUUCUUGUAUUUGGCUAGUUUAAAUUACGUUACGUAUAAUAUGCGGUACGAUACACGUCCAAAAUAUAUGGCUGAUGAUACCUGGUUAAUUCAAGGUUAACUCAAUGAAUACUAAGGACACUACGCUGAAAAUUUUACUACACAAUCUCGCCGACACAAAGUGCAAAGAGAAGAAGUGCGAGCCUAAACAAAGGCCGGUAUGGUGUGACCAAGGCUGCAUUUGGUUUUGUCGACUCAUCGGCAGCAUCUUAACAAUAGCAAUAUGCUAUUAUUGCGCCUACACUCUCAUCUCUGACACUAAACUCAAGUUUGGAUUAUUUA
Molecule: long non-coding RNA, 467 nt
Organism: Leptidea sinapis
Lineage: Eukaryota; Metazoa; Arthropoda; Insecta; Lepidoptera; Pieridae
Exons: 3
Source: RefSeq, a predicted model, not a curated record